This 549-nucleotide ribosomal RNA is filed under the name uncultured bacterium. Its description in RNAcentral is "bacterial SSU rRNA". It matches the Rfam family "Bacterial small subunit ribosomal RNA", at positions 356 to 896 of the family's 1533-position model. The record is from RNAcentral.
AGGGAAUCUUCCGCAAUGGGCGAAAGCCUGACGGAGCAACGCCGCGUGAGUGAUGAAGGUCUUCGGAUCGUAAAACUCUGUUAUUAGGGAAGAACAAAUGUGUAAGUAACUAUGCACGUCUUGACGGUACCUAAUCAGAAAGCCACGGCUAACUACGUGCCAGCAGCCGCGGUAAUACGUAGGUGGCAAGCGUUAUCCGGAAUUAUUGGGCGUAAAGCGCGCGUAGGCGGUUUUUUAAGUCUGAUGUGAAAGCCCACGGCUCAACCGUGGAGGGUCAUUGGAAACUGGAAAACUUGAGUGCAGAAGAGGAAAGUGGAAUUCCAUGUGUAGCGGUGAAAUGCGCAGAGAUAUGGGGGAACACCAGUGGCGAAGGCGACUUUCUGGUCUGUAACUGACGCUGAUGUGCGAAAGCGUGGGGAUCAAACAGGAUUAGAUACCCUGGUAGUCCACGCCGUAAACGAUGAGUGCUAAGUGUUAGGGGGUUUCCGCCCCUUAGUGCUGCAGCUAACGCAUUAAGCACUCCGCCUGGGGAGUACGACCGCAAGGUUG